Molecule: long non-coding RNA, 2477 nt
Filed under: Homo sapiens (human)
Lineage: Eukaryota; Metazoa; Chordata; Mammalia; Primates; Hominidae
Description: non-protein coding lnc-PCDHGA1-3:2
Source: RNAcentral
GGUACCCACCACCAUGCAACCUCCGCCUCCUGGGUUCAGGUGAUUCUCCUGCCUCAGCGUCCCGAGUAACUGGGAUUACGGGAACCCACCACCAUGCCUGGCUAAUUUUUGUAUUUUUAGUAGAGACGGGGUUUCACCAUGUUGGCCAGGCUGGUCUCGAACUCCUGACUUCAGGUGAUAUCCUUUCAUCCUAUUAAACGGAAUCACCAUGUGACCUAGCAAAUCCACUCCUAAGGCAUAUAUCCCCCAAAACCAAAAACAGCUACUCAAAUGGAUACAAGAAAGAAGCCAGACACAAAGGGCACAUACUUUAUUAAUUAUAUUGACACAACAUGUCCAUGACAGGCAAAUCCAUAUGAUAGUAAGUAAAUUAGCAGAUGCCAAGUUGGGUGGAAUGGGAAGUAGGAAGUGGCUGCUAGUGGAUUCAGGGUUUCUUGUAAGCGUGAUAAGAAUGCUGUGGAAUUAGAUAGUGGUAAUGGCUGGACAACUUUCUGAAUACAGACUAUCCCUGACUUAAGAUAAUUCAACCUAACAAUUUUUUUUAGCUUAUGAUGGUGCAAAAGCCAUAUGCAUUCAGUAGAAAUUGUACUUCAAAUUUUGAUUCAAAAUUCAUUAUCAACAUUAUAAAACUGGCUUUGCGUUACAUUAUUUUGUCCAAUUGUAAGCUAAUAUAAGUGUCCCGAGCAUGUUUAAGGUAGGCUAGGCUAAGAAAGAUGUUUGGUAAGUUAGGUGUUAUUAAAUGCAUUCCAACUUAACAAUAUUUUCGACUCACAAUGGCUUUCAGGACAUAAUUCUAUUGUAAGUCAAGGAGCAUCUGUACACACACAAAAAAUGGGAUUGUAUACUUUAAAGAUGAAUUUUAUCAUAUGUGAAUUAUAUGUCAAUACAAUCAAUAGAUAAAUGUAUACAUGCAUAUAGACAAGCAUGCAUCUAUACAACGGACCAUAGAACUAAAUGGAAAACCUAAAACUACCAAACAUCUAGAAGAGAACAGGGGAAAAUCUUCACAGCUUUGAGGUGGUAAUAAUUUCUCAGGUAAGACACAAAAAAAAGUAUAAAUCGGCCGGGCGCGGUGGCUCACGCCUGUAAUCCCAGCACUUUGGGAGGCUGAGGCAGACAGAUCACAAGGUCAGGAGAUCGAGACCAUCCUGGCUAACACGGUGAAACCCUGUCUCUAGUAAAAAUACAAAAAAUUAGCCGGGCGUGGUGGCGGGCACCUGUAGUCCCAGCUACUCGGGAGGCUGAGGCAGGAGAAUGGUGUGAAACUGGGAAGUGGAGCUUGCAGUGAGCUGAGAUGGCACCACUGCACUCCAGCCUGGGCGACAAGAGUGAGACUCCAUCUCAAAAAAAUAAAAAUAAAAAUAAAGAAAGAAAAGAAUACAAAACAUAAAAAGAAAAAUUGAUGAAGCAGACUUCAUCAAAAUUAAAAACUUCUGUUCUUUUGAAGCCAUUAUUAAGAAAUGAGAAGACAAGAUUGGGAGAAAAUAUCUGCAAAACACUUAUCCGAUAAAGAACUAGUAUACCCAACACAGAUUAAAAAGUUAUGACUAGAUCAUAAGAAAACAACCCAAUUUUAAAAAAUGGACAGAUUUGGAAAGUCACUUUACCAAAGAAGAUAUACAGAUGGCAAAUUAAGCACAGAGAAAGCUGCUCAAUAUCAUCAGUAAGUCAUGAAAACUAUGUACUAGGAAUUAAACUCAUUAGGAAUUAAAACUACAAAGUCUAACCUUUUAAAAUCACUAAAAACAAAACCAAACAAAACUUAUGAGACUUAAGUGUUGGUGAGGAUGCAAAGCAUUUGCAACUCUCAUACAUUGCUAGUGGAAAUGAAAAAUGGUACAGCCACUUUGGAAAACAGUUUGGCAGUUUCUUAUACAGUUAAACAUACAUUUACCAUACCAUAUGACCCAACAAUCUCAUCCCUAGGUGUUUAUCCCUCCAAAAUGAAAAUAUAUUUGUCUAGACAAAAUCCUGUAUGCAAACGUUUCUAUCAGCUUUAUUCAUAAUUGCCAAAAACUGGAUACAACCCAGAUGUCCAUCAGCCAGUGAAUGGACAUAAUGGACAUUAUGCUAAAAUCAAAGAAUCCAGACUGAAAAGGCUACUUAGUGUAUGAUUCUACUUAUAUGACAGUCUGAAAAAGACACAACUGUCAGAAAAUAGAUCAGUGGUAUGCCAGGGUUUGGCAAUAAGGAGGAGGACUGACAAAUGAACAUGAAGGAACUUUUUGGAGUGACUGUGAUUAUAUGGCCGUAUACAUUUGUCAGCCAUAUAAUACUGUACACAUAAAAAGGGUGAAUUUUACUAUAUAUAAAUUAUAUCUCAGCAAACCUGACUAAACAAAUUGUAUCUUCAAGGCCAAUACAGUAGGAUAAAGCUAAAAUAACUAUAAUAGUGUGAGAACAGCUGGACACAGUGGCUCAUGCCUGUAAUCCCAGCACUUUGGAAGGACAAGUGGUAGGACUGCUUGAGUCCAGGA